GUGCUCGCUUCGGCAGCACAUAUACUAAAAUUGGAACAAUACAGAGAAAAUUAGCAUGGCCCCUGUGCAAGGA
RNAcentral lists this small nuclear RNA (73 nucleotides) under Salvator merianae (Argentine black and white tegu). Lineage: Eukaryota; Metazoa; Chordata; Lepidosauria; Squamata; Teiidae. The record is from RNAcentral.